RNAcentral lists this ribosomal RNA (427 nucleotides) under uncultured bacterium. RNAcentral's name for it is "bacterial SSU rRNA". It matches the Rfam family "Bacterial small subunit ribosomal RNA", at positions 355 to 774 of the family's 1533-position model. The record is from RNAcentral.
UAGGGAAUAUUGGACAAUGGGGGCAACCCUGAUCCAGCCAUGCCGCGUGAGUGAAGAAGGCCCUCGGGUUGUAAAGCUCUUUUGUCCGGAAAGAAAAGCUUCGGGUUAAUACCCCGGGGUUCUGACGGUACCGGAAGAAUAAGCACCGGCUAACUUCGUGCCAGCAGCCGCGGUAAUACGAAGGGUGCAAGCGUUACUCGGAAUUACUGGGCGUAAAGCGUGCGUAGGUGGUUGUUUAAGUCUGAUGUGAAAGCCCUGGGCUCAACCUGGGAAUGGCAUUGGAAACUGGGCAGCGAGAGUGCGGUAGAGGGUAGUGGAAUUCCCGGUGUAGCAGUGAAAUGCGUAGAGAUCGGGAGGAACAUCUGUGGCGAAGGCGACUGCCUGGACCAGCACUGACACUGAGGCACGAAAGCGUGGGGAGCAAACA